Molecule: transfer RNA, 71 nt
Filed under: Harriotta raleighana (Pacific longnose chimaera)
Lineage: Eukaryota; Metazoa; Chordata; Chondrichthyes; Chimaeriformes; Rhinochimaeridae
Description: tRNA-Lys
Source: RNAcentral
CACUAAGAAGCUAAAGUAUCAGCGUUAGCCUUUUAAGCUAGAAAUAGGUGACUCGUAAUCACCCUUAAUGA